AUGCCAUAUGAUACUGGCUUAGUAAUCAAUACCAGUAAUUACCAUAGAACUUUAUCUGACUACCCAACCAUAUCAAAAGAGUACUUUUUUCUGGGUUAAUAAUACUAGCUUUGAUACAUAAUCAUUUAAGUUAUAUUUGUUUAAAAUUAUAUAUUUUCUUAGUAAUAGUCAAGUUGGUGCUUAGGAAUAAACAUGUAGAAGUUUAUGCAGUAUGUAGGGCAGAGGUCAGUGAAUGUAUUUGCUUGGCUUGGAACUUAAGAUUGAACCAAUUUUACAAUAAAUCAAAUUGGAAGAAAUUGGUAAAAGGCAUUUUAGUAAUAUUGGAACUUUUUGAAGUGUGUGGGACUAUGAGAAGAAUUUCUUACUAACAUUUCCAAUAUCUGUAAGAUACCAAAGGACUGAGACUAACUGAUCUUUUAAUGGAAUUUCUUUGAAAUCAAAUCCAUAACUGAUUCUAUUAAGAUACAAUAGCUAAAGUUGGGGAAUAACUUCAGGUAAAAACUGCAAGUCUUGAAGAUUUUUGGCAUUCUUUUAAGUAUUUAAACUUAAUCUUUAUAGCUGCCCCAUACAGUAAUCUAUGACCUCUCUGAAUCACUCUUCAAUCUUGGGCCUCUAUUGCCUUACUUCAAAUAUUGUACCUUGUUUAGCCUACCUCACAGGGCUGUUGUGAGGAGUGUAGUGAAACGGACUCUCAUGUGAACUGGGUGGUUUCCACUAAGAAUGGUUGUGUUUGGAUACUUGUAAAUGCUGUUUAGUUAGAAAAAGCAUGUUAAGUUGGUAUAAGCAGUGAUUUUAAAUGAUUUUUAAAAAUAAGACGUCCUUCAAAAUGUCUUUUAGUAUCAAUUAAGUUUGUGCAUGAUUGUUUUUAUAUUUCUCAUCAACUACACAACUUUUCCAAGUUAUAAAGUCUACUGCAGCAUUCAUGUGUAGCGGGGAAGCCUACGUAAGCAAACGACUACAGCUCCUUCCCCCCAGGACUUGCACUUGCACUAGAGCAGCCGGUGCCCAUGCAGAGUGAACGUGGCUGAAUUAACUUUUCCAACAACCAAGUGGGUCAGCAAUUUGAUGCCCUUGAUAAAUAUCAACUUUAUUGAAUUGUACCUUUUAUUAAAAAGGAAAUACUUCAAAACCUUGUUCAUUACCUAGACCAGUUAUUAUCUGUCUGGACAUAGUUGUGUUCCUCUAAAUUGGAUGUACUAAAUAGUUUACAAGUUAUCCUACUCCACAGAUUUUGGUAUGUUUGUUAUCUGGACAUGAUUUUGCUAUGCAGUUGUGAUAAUAAAAAUUCCAGCUCCUCAGGUUUAACCUCUAAGUUGUGGAUGGAGACUAUUUAAAGUACACAUGAUGUAUUCAGUGCUGCAAGAGUGUUUGAAAUGAGCACACUGCCUCAUUUUCCUCACCAACAAGACAAAGCCUUUCCAAUGAUUUUUUUUUAAACUUUCAAAGUGGUUGUUCAAAGUGUAGCAACUUGUAUGUUGAAAUGAUUGUAUGUUCUGUAUGAAAUGUUCCACUUGAGAUUUUUACAAAAGCACCUGUAUUAUCUCUUUUAAAAAUUAAACUUUUUUUUUGCUUUC
This 1574-nucleotide long non-coding RNA is filed under the name Mus musculus (house mouse). RNAcentral's name for it is "long non-coding RNA chr4:53705435-53707009". The record is from RNAcentral. Lineage: Eukaryota; Metazoa; Chordata; Mammalia; Rodentia; Muridae.